CAGUAGCCACGGUAAUACGAGGGGGGCAAGCGUUGUUCGGAUUUAUUGGGCGUAAAGGGUGCGUAGGCGGUUUGGCAAGUCUUGUGUGAAAUCUUCGGGCUCAACCCGAAGCCUGCACGAGAAACUACCGGGCUUGAGUAUUGGAGAGGUGAGUGGAAUUUCCGGUGUAGCGGUGAAAUGCGUAGAUAUCGGAAGGAACACCUGUGGCGAAAGCGGCUCACUGGACAAUAACUGACGCUGAUGCACGAAAGCUAGGGGAGCAAACAGGAUUAGAUACCCCCGUAGUCCCUGUCUCUUAUAA
RNAcentral lists this ribosomal RNA (301 nucleotides) under uncultured bacterium. Its description in RNAcentral is "partial 16S ribosomal RNA". It matches the Rfam family "Bacterial small subunit ribosomal RNA", at positions 509 to 809 of the family's 1533-position model. The record is from RNAcentral.